GACGAACGCUGGCGGCGUGCUUAACACAUGCCAGUCGAACGGAAAGGCCCUGCUUUUGUGGGUUUCUCGAGUGGCGAACGGGUGAGUAACACGUGAGUAACCUGCCCUUGACUUUGGGAUAACUUCAGGAAACUGGGGCUAAUACCGGAUAGAAGCUCCUGCUGCAUGGUGGGGGUUGGAAAGUUUCGGCGGUUGGGGAUGGACUCGCGGCUUAUCAGCUUGUUGGUGGGGUAGUGGCUUACCAAGGCUUUGACGGGUAGCCGGCCUGAGAGGGUGACCGGCCACAUUGGGACUGAGAUACGCCCCAGACUCCUACGGGACGCAGCAGUGGGGAAUAUUGCACAAUGGGCGGAAGCCAGCUGCAGCAAAGCCGCGUGCGGGAUAAAGGCCUUCGGGUUGUAAACCGCUUUCGACUGUGACGAAGCGUGCGUGACGGUAAUGGGUAACGAAGCACCGGCUAACUACGUG
This 468-nucleotide ribosomal RNA is filed under the name uncultured bacterium. RNAcentral's name for it is "partial 16S ribosomal RNA". It matches the Rfam family "Bacterial small subunit ribosomal RNA", at positions 28 to 507 of the family's 1533-position model. The record is from RNAcentral.